RNAcentral lists this ribosomal RNA (120 nucleotides) under Homo sapiens (human). The record is from RNAcentral. Lineage: Eukaryota; Metazoa; Chordata; Mammalia; Primates; Hominidae.
GUCUAUGGCCAUACCACCCUGAACGCGUCCAAUCUCGUCUGAUCUCUCGAGGCUAAGUAGGGUCAGGCCUGGUUAGUACUUAACUGGGAGACCGCCUGGGAAUAACGGGUGCUGUAGGCU